RNAcentral lists this transfer RNA (87 nucleotides) under Candidatus Nomurabacteria bacterium. Its description in RNAcentral is "tRNA-Tyr". It matches the Rfam family "tRNA". From Rfam's summary of the family: Transfer RNA (tRNA) molecules are approximately 80 nucleotides in length. Their secondary structure includes four short double-helical elements and three loops (D, anti-codon, and T loops). Further hydrogen bonds mediate the characteristic L-shaped molecular structure. tRNAs have two regions of fundamental functional importance: the anti-codon, which is responsible for specific mRNA codon recognition, and the 3' end, to which the tRNAs corresponding amino acid is attached (by aminoacyl-tRNA synthetases). tRNAs cope with the degeneracy of the genetic code in two manners: having more than one tRNA (with a specific anti-codon) for a particular amino acid; and 'wobble' base-pairing, i.e. permitting non-standard base-pairing at the 3rd anti-codon position. RNAcentral also lists the same sequence under 1 other name. The record is from RNAcentral. Lineage: Bacteria; Candidatus Nomuraibacteriota.
GCUGGGGUAGUGAAGCGGUCAAACACUGCAGACUGUAAAUCUGCCGGCCUAGUGCCUUCGUAGGUUCGAAUCCUACCCCCAGCACCA